CACUGAAAAAAGUCAGUCUAAGAAUAUGUCGUUUUAACAUAAUGAAGCCUGUGGUAAUAACAGUUAAAAACAAACUUUGUCUCUUGACAUUAAUAUAUUAUGUUUUGAAUUCAUCUAUAUUUAGAUGAUUUAAAUUUUUGUUAUUAGUGGUUCAACAAAUCUGCUCAUGAAGACCAACACAACAAACAAUUUGCUCGUUGUAUUUACUCUGCUUCAACUGAGGCACAAAACAAGAAAUUGGAAAAGAUGGGAGGCUGGACUUUAAGGUGCUGCUGGUAUUUGGUGGGGAUUUCUGGUCUUUAGCUGCCCUCUCGUCCCGCUCCUAGGCUUCUUUGUGCAGCGGAGAGGGAAGUGGGCUGCGGAGGGGAAACUUGCGCGCAACCUGUUGCGAGCGGCUCACUAAUUGCCAUGGGACGCUGCCAAGUGCUCCAGUGACAGAUGUUUCAGCUGGAUGGCUGCUAAUGAAGAUCGGCUGGAAAACAUCCACUGGACUAUCCUCUGGAGGGCUCCCAUGAUUCAUUAUGCCUGCGUUCACGCCGGGGGCCACUGGAUCCACGUUAUCAGGCCGCACAGAUCCUUGUAAGUGUGGAGGCUUAGCCAUGCGAUGAGCUGAAGGCUCCUUAUUUAGAUGAUUAGUGUGUUAUUGAAACAUUUUGUAUUCAGUGGAAGCAGCAUUGUCUUUUAAUUAGCCGGUCAUCGUCAUUAUUUGUUUUCCACUUAAUUCCCUUUGGCACUUGAGCAGAUAAUGACAUUCAUCCAUAGAAGGAGGAAAUAAAAUCCAGAAAAUAUUAUUAAAAGUUGUCCUCCAUUGUGUUUAAUUUUCUUUUUUAAAUAAUUUAUUAUGUCGGUCGUAUUGAAAAUUGUAGUGAAACACUUGAAGUAGAUUUUUUUUACUGUGACUGUAAGAAGACGCUAUGAACAGCUACUGACAAAAUAUUGAUCUGUUGUUUCAGGGAGAAGCUAAUUUGAUUUAAAAUAUUUAUAUAUGCACACACAUUUCAU
Long non-coding RNA from Mugil cephalus (flathead mullet), 1002 nucleotides. RefSeq lists it as uncharacterized. NCBI's taxonomy places the organism in Eukaryota, Metazoa, Chordata, Actinopteri, Mugiliformes, Mugilidae. The transcript has 3 exons. The record is from RefSeq and is a predicted model, not a curated record.